Long non-coding RNA from Daphnia pulicaria, 472 nucleotides. RefSeq lists it as uncharacterized. The transcript is spliced from 4 exons. NCBI's taxonomy places the organism in Eukaryota, Metazoa, Arthropoda, Branchiopoda, Diplostraca, Daphniidae. The record is from RefSeq and is a predicted model, not a curated record.
CUUAAGUUGGUUGCACAGUCAGUCACAGACAGACGUGAUAAUGUGAUAUUACACGUCAAAAAAGUUCAACAACGGAGAUCGGAUAACAAGUUAACUGUUUUUAAAUAAUUUCAGCUGAAGUUUUCAUGUACCUGGCCAACUAGGUGCUCGUGACAAUAUAAAUGAAAUGGCCUAAUUCAAUAAUGCAAGCUCACAACCAUUGUCUUAUGAAGAAAAAUCAUUUCUGUUGCAGUUGUAAAUCUUCAAGAUAUAUCUUCAAGAUAGCCUUCGCUAGAUCCAAUUCUUUGCUAUUUUACGGACAACAGCAAGAAAAUGCUGAUACUCAAGAUUUUAUGAUGACCACCACUUUGUUCUAAUUUAGGACAAGGUUAAUCCCUUUCCGCUGUUAUAGUUUUUUUAAAUCGACGAGAGAUUGCUGGAAUCAAAGACUGAUCAUUUGUUUAGACGUAGAUAAAUUACAAGUGCAUAUCUG